GUGCUGGCUUUGGCAGCACACAUACUAAAGUAGAUAGAAGAUGAGCGCGGCCCCUGCAGAAGGAAGACGUGCAAAUUCAUGACGCAUUCCAUAUUACA
Small nuclear RNA from Ailuropoda melanoleuca (giant panda), 98 nucleotides. The record is from Ensembl. NCBI's taxonomy places the organism in Eukaryota, Metazoa, Chordata, Mammalia, Carnivora, Ursidae.